CGACCCCAGGAUGGGCGGG
RNAcentral lists this ribosomal RNA (19 nucleotides) under Goodyera brachyceras. RNAcentral describes it as "partial 26S ribosomal RNA". The record is from RNAcentral. Lineage: Eukaryota; Viridiplantae; Streptophyta; Magnoliopsida; Asparagales; Orchidaceae.